Molecule: non-coding RNA, 134 nt
Organism: Caenorhabditis elegans
Lineage: Eukaryota; Metazoa; Nematoda; Chromadorea; Rhabditida; Rhabditidae
Source: Ensembl
UGGAUGGAUUCAAAAAGUGGAUCCCUUUGGAUCUUAUUGAGAGAGAAAAAGAGAAAAAGGGGAAAGAAAAGUGGAGAAAAAGAACAAAAAGAGCAAGAGAAGGCACCAUUCAACUUGAUAAUCAUAUCCACAUU